GACAGAGGUCCCGAGCGUUAGGCGGAAUCACUGGGCUUAAAGCGUGUGUAGGCGGAUCGUUAAGUGCCUUGUGAAAUCCCAUGGCUUAACCGUGGAACUGCUUGGCAUACUGGCGGUCUUGAGCCACUUAGGGGCAACCGGAACAAAAGGUGGAGCGGUGAAAUGCGUAGAUAUCGUAAGGAAGACCAGUGGCGAAGGCGGGUCUCUGGACAGUUCCUGACGCUGAGGCACGAAGGUCAGGGGAGCAAACGGG
This 253-nucleotide ribosomal RNA is filed under the name uncultured bacterium. RNAcentral describes it as "partial 16S ribosomal RNA". It matches the Rfam family "Bacterial small subunit ribosomal RNA", at positions 524 to 776 of the family's 1533-position model. The record is from RNAcentral.